Molecule: ribosomal RNA, 480 nt
Filed under: uncultured bacterium
Lineage: Bacteria
Description: bacterial SSU rRNA
Rfam family: Bacterial small subunit ribosomal RNA
Source: RNAcentral
AACGAACGCUAGCGGCAGGCUUAACACAUGCAAGUCGAGGGGCAACACGGGUAGCAAUACCUGGUGGCGACCGGCGCAAGGGUGCGUAACGCGUGAGCAACAUACCCUAUACAGGGGGAUAAUCCAGGGAAACUUGGUCUAAUAUCCCAUAGGAUUUACAGAUGUCAUCAUCUAUAAAUUAAAGCUUCGGUGGUAUAGGAUUGGCUCGCGUGACAUUAGCUAGAUGGUGGGUAACGCCUACCAUGGCCAUGAUGUCUAGGGGUUCUGAGAGGAAGACCCCCCACACUGGGACUGAGACACGGCCCAGACUCCUACGGGAGGCAGCAGUGAGGAAUAUUGGACAAUGGAUGGAAAUCUGAUCCAGCCAUGCCGCGUGCAGGAAGACGGCCCUAUGGGUUGUAAACUGCUUUUAUACGGGACAAUAAGGUCUAUGCAUAGAUUGAUGAGAGUACCGUAUGAAUAAGCAUCGGCUAACUCCGU